CCUACGGGAGGCAGCAGUAGGGAAUAUUGCUCAAUGGGGGAAACCCUGAAGCAGCAACGCCGCGUGGAGGAUGAAGGUUUUCGGAUUGUAAACUCCUUUUGUUAGAGAAGAUAAUGACGGUAUCUAACGAAUAAGCACCGGCUAACUCCGUGCCAGCAGCCGCGGGAAUACGGAGGGUGCAAGCGUUACUCGGAAUCACUGGGCGUAAAGAGCGCGUAGGCGGGAUAGCAAGUCAGAUGUGAAAUCCUAUGGCUUAACCAUAGAACUGCAUUUGAAACUGUUAUUCUAGAGUAUGGGAGAGGUAGGUGGAAUUCUUGGUGUAGGGGUAAAAUCCGUAGAGAUCAAGAGGAAUACUCAUUGCGAAGGCGGCCUGCUAGAACAUAACUGACGCUGAUGCGCGAAAGCGUGGGGAGCAAACAGGAUUAGAUACCCGGGUAGUC
Molecule: ribosomal RNA, 440 nt
Filed under: uncultured bacterium
Lineage: Bacteria
Description: partial 16S ribosomal RNA
Rfam family: Bacterial small subunit ribosomal RNA
Source: RNAcentral